AUCAGUCGUCCUGAACGCAGAAGAUUGUUGGCUUGACGGGCUCCGUGAUCUCGACGGACCCCUCCAGCAUCUUGGACACUUUCCCCAUAGACGGCCGCAUCUCGGCGCGGUCCUGCAGGCACCACAUGGCCGUCUUCACCAUGCGCUCCACGGUGGCGACGCUGGCGGCGUCGUCGUAGGUGGCGGCGAUGCGGGGGUCCAGGAUGUCGUCGAUGCGGCGCUCCACGUACACCUUCUCGUACGCCCACUUGGGGAAGUACCAGUCCUCACUGCCCACCGACUCCUGCCGGAACCCGUAGUUGCGGCGGCCGGACACGAUCUCCAGCAGGACCAUGCCGAAGCUGUACACGUCGGCCUUGGCCGUGAUGGGCUCGCGGUGGAUCACCCACUCGGGCGCCAUGUACCCGCGGGUGCCGCGGAUGCGCGACAUGGUCACCUUCUCCUUCUUGCUCGUCAGCUUGGACAGACCGAAGUCGGACACCUUGGGGCAGAAGUCGUCCUCCAGCAGGAUGUUCUCGGGCUUGAUGUCGCAGUGGAGAACCCACUCCAGGCACUCCUCGUGGAGGUAGGCGAUGGCGCGGGCAACACCCAGGGCGAUGCGGUAACGGGUGUGAAGGUCCAGCAGCGGCUGCUGCUGCUGCUGCUCAGCGGACGAAUCCUCCUCGCCGCUCCCACCGCCUCCGCCUCCGCCGGCGAACAGGUACUUGUCCAGCGACCCGUUGGGUACGUACUCGUACACCAACAUCCGCUGCUCCUUUUCGGCGCAGAACCCCCACAUGCGCACCAGGUUGAGGUGGUGCAUUCGCGCGAUGAUGGUCACCUCCGCCCAGAACUCUGCCUCGCCGCCGCCCACGCCUUGCAGCUGCUUCACCGCCACGGCGCGCCGGUCGGGCAGCUCGCCGCGGUACACCGUCCCGUACGCGCCGCGCCCCACCACGUUGGAGAAGUCCUUGGUCGCCUGCUUCAGCUCCGCGUGCGAGAACCGCCGGGGCCCGCCGGCGGGGAGGUACUCCAGUCCCAGCGUGCGCGCCAUCUCCCGGUACUGGGAGUACUUGCGCAGAAACGCCCAGAACGACAGCACCCCGGCCAGCAGCUCCACCACGAACAGCGCCGUGAUGAUGGCCACGUUCUGGAUCGUCGUCUGCGACUCCUUCGGCGGCACCGGCAGUGCCAGCUGCACGGGGCACACCGUCUCGAUCAUGGUCGUCAUCCCCGUGAACGGGUUGCUGUCAUUGUCCGACGCCACCACCCGCAGAUACGUCGACAUCUCCGUCGCCGGGGACCAGUACCCGUCCACCAGCCCGGUGAACUGGAGGCACGUCCGGUCGCCGCCGAACUUGUACCCGAACGCCACGCAGGUGGAGUUACUCCGGCAGAGUCUCUCGCAGUCCGCCAGGUUCUGCGGCGUCAGCUUGGUCAUCAGCGGCCCGGGGUCCGACGCCGAGGAGUUGGCGGCCCCGGAGAAGGAGACGAAGUCCAUCCGCACGAACGUGUCGUCGUCGCCCCUGCCGCUGUACCUUUUCUUGGGUGUGCAGGGGUCCGUCGGGGUGGCGUUGCGGUAGCCCGGCGGGCAGACGCAAGUGGUGCUGUCAACGCCGACGGGGACGCAGAUUCUGCCGUUGGCGCAGGUGCCCCGGAUGGUGCAGAGCUCCUGCACGACCUGCCACACCACGAGCCACUUCCGGGUCUUGGGCACCAGGCUGUAGAGGCGCAGGUUGCCGUCGUCGUCAAGCGUGAGCCGCCGCACCCGAUUGGUGGUGCCUUGGUCGGAGGCGAUGAGCUGCGAGCCGCUGAACUGGAGCUUGCCGUCGGCGGUGAGAUUGAGCAGAGCGCUGCCGCCGCUGAUGUUGGCGUACAUCAUGGAAUUGUUGAACUGCAGCGUGGCGGAGUUGACGACCCUGUAGUGGCCGUUGACGGACUGGAGCGUGGUGUCGUUGCCUCCCUUGGGCAUGGCCUGCCCCGGCAUGAGCGUGUUGGUGGGCUCGGCGAAGCUCGACCAGGCUGCGCCGUAGACCAGGCUCCCCGUAUCGUUGAGCUGCAGCACCGCCGGGGUGGUGGUGGUGUUGGCGGGGGGCGGGAGCGACCAGAUGGUGGCGUUGUUGUUCCCGCCGGCAGUCCAGGUGAGCCGGCCCGCCGCGUCGAUGGCGAGCUUGGAGGUGUCGUUGCCCUCGUAGGGGGAGUAGCUGGCUGUGUCGUGGGCGUACCAUAUGAAAGCCUUGUCGGUGGAGUUGGAGCCGACGACCCAGACGGCGAAGUGGUAGCGAUCCCGAGCAGAGGUCGACGCCACGAACCCGGCGGCGAAUUCCCGAUUGAUCGACACGAGGAUGCGGUUGCUGUUCGUGGGGCUCCAGGUCGAGUUGUUUGCGGAGAAAGAGGACAUCUGCUGCUGGGCGGCGGCGAGAGGUGGCACAAGGAGGAGGAGGCAGAGUAGGAGGGAGACGGAGGCCAUGGCCGCGACCUGCUGGCUGCUGCGGCCAAGACGACGACGAGGAGGACUUUGCUGCUGGUGUCGCGUGGGGUGGAACCGUGGAAAUAGCCUAUCGAUCGAUCAAAGCUGUCCAUUGCAACGACCGUGGGGAUAAUUAAUUGGGGGUGGGAUGACUGAUGAGGCAGCCGACUGAUUGCAAAGACUACUAGCAAAUCGGUCUUUUAGUUUGUCAAGAGUCCAGUCGCCGCUGCAAAAUUUGGAAUGGACGUAUUCCGUUUCUUUACCAUGUUCCAUGUGGGUCCAGUAAUGGAUCAGAUCGGACUGUCGGUUUGGAGGGCCGGAGACUUUUUUAUGUUCACUUACAUGAAUGGUUGGUCGUAUCGUCUUGUCCUAUAUUACUGC
Molecule: unclassified non-coding RNA, 2830 nt
Filed under: Zea mays
Lineage: Eukaryota; Viridiplantae; Streptophyta; Magnoliopsida; Poales; Poaceae
Description: misc RNA Zm00001eb025530
Source: RNAcentral